GGAUGUGAGGGCGAUCUGGCUGCGACAUCUGUCACCCCAUUGAUCGCCAGGGUUGAUUCGGCUGAUCUGGCUGGCUAGGCGGGUGUCCCCUUCCUCCCUCACUGCUCCAUGUGCGUCUCUCCCGAAGCUGCGCGCUCGGUCGAAGAGGACGACCAUCCCCGAUAGAGGAGGACCGUUCUUCGGUCAAGGGUAUACGAGUAGCUGCGCUCCCCUGCUAGAACCUCCAAACAAGCUCUCAAGUAAUAUUCUUCCUUCAUUAGUUAAACAUGUCCACCAUUGAAAGGCUCUAAGGAAUAAACUCAACUUGGCUUAGAGUAAAUGAUUUUUUGUUCAAGU
Molecule: non-coding RNA, 336 nt
Filed under: Canis lupus familiaris (dog)
Lineage: Eukaryota; Metazoa; Chordata; Mammalia; Carnivora; Canidae
Also listed under: 1 other name
Description: 7SK RNA
Rfam family: 7SK RNA
About the family: 7SK was discovered as an abundant small nuclear RNA in the mid-70s but a possible function has only recently been suggested. Two independent studies have found that 7SK RNA binds the CDK9/cyclin T complex (known as elongation factor P-TEFb). P-TEFb activates transcription by phosphorylating the C-terminal domain of RNA polymerase II.
Source: Rfam by way of RNAcentral